GAGUUUCUUGUCCUUAACCAAAGAGACACAUUUUGGGGUGGCCAAUUCUGAUCCCCCACAGGGCCAAGUGGAAAAUGUCAGGGAGAAGAACUAUGUCCAAAUAUUGGCUCAGUUACCUGCUGUGUGAUCUUGGGCAAGUCACUUCACCUCUCUGACUCUGCCUUUCUUCAGCUGUAAAGUGAAAGGCCUACGUUUCAGCCCAGGACCUGCCUGCCACCCUGUAGACUAGUUAAUGUGUGUUAUUGGAAGGAAGGAAGGAAAGGGAGUAUUUAUUGUGCUCCCACCACGUGCCAGGUCCUGUGGGGGACACUGGGUACACUGUGGUAAACAGGCAGGCAGUCGCUGCUUUCCUGGAGAUUUUUCUCGAAGGGCUGCGGAAGUGGUUAACGGCAGCAGGAGGUUGAGUAACUGGGGCUUUGUAACUGCGGGCAGGAUUUCUCCUGAGCCGCUGGCCGUCAGCCAGGGAGGAGGGGGAGACACCCCAUCAUGACAGAGGAGCAAAGGAGACGCCCUCGUUCACUCAGCUGUAAGCAGUCGGAGCCUGGAUUCCAACCCAGGGUCUGCUUUUACAGGCCGCCCGGGUCCUCUCUUGAGUCCCCAGCACUUUAGCAGCUGAAGGAAGCUCGAGAAAGCAAGACGGGGGGCCUUCGAGAAGGCAGGUGGCAGGGGAGGCCUUUAUAGGCCCCACCCACUCGGCCCUCGGCAGCGCCCCACCCUCGGGAGUGCCCCUGGGCAGGGCCAGCCUGGCUGGGCCUCUCUCCUCCCAGGUCUGCAGGAUGGAUGACUGAGCAGAGGCACCCCAGUCUUUCUAUUCCAGACCAAACUCUCGGCCCCACCAGCGCUUCUCAAGCCACCCCAACCCCUAACUGUGAGAGGAGCUGGUGGGACCCGGAGCGGUGAUGAAGAUGAGCUCUUACAGCUGAAUGGCUCUUUACGACCUGCAAAGGCCCUGUCUACCUAAUCUGAUUUGAGCCUCGCACAAACCCAGAAGCCGCAGUCUUUAUCAUCCCCUUCAAAGCCGAAGGAACCAAGGCACUGAGUGCAGAAGCCCCUUCUCCAGAUUCCUCCGUCACGGGAGCAACCGAGGACGCCAACCUUGGUCUUUGGGUCCCUGUUCAGUGCUCUUUACCUCCCUCUCGAAAGAAUACAUUCGCAAGCAUCCGGCGCCAUCCAUCUUGCUGUCUUAUACCCGCAUCCUGACAAUAAAAAUAAUGACAACAGCUGUU
Equus caballus (horse) is the source of this 1226-nucleotide non-coding RNA. The record is from RefSeq and is a predicted model, not a curated record. Lineage: Eukaryota; Metazoa; Chordata; Mammalia; Perissodactyla; Equidae.